GCGCGAAAGACAAGACUUUCUUGAGCACAAGGUCACCUUCUCGAGUCUUGACCUUCUUAUUGAAUGCUUUCUUCCCUCUCUGCUGAUAUAACUGACCCUGACACAUGGCAGUUAAUCUCUUCUUUUUGAUCAGAUUCACUUGGUCGUAACGACUCUGAAUCCAUUCAGCAUCAGUCAACUUGGGACUUUGAGGGUGCUAUUUUUAUUUUGUUUCUUUCUUUCUUUCUUUUGAUUUCGAUUUCUUUUGAUUUCUUUUGAUGAUUUUUUUUUUUAUUUUGCACCCUCCUCUUUCUUUUUUCUUUUUUUUUUCUUACAUUUGUUUUUUUUAAUGCCCCAGCUGGCUGUUCUGCUGAUUCUCGAGAUGCAGCUGAG
This 372-nucleotide long non-coding RNA is filed under the name Lathyrus oleraceus (garden pea). Its description in RNAcentral is "Pisum sativum (pea) long non-coding RNA (PSAT_LNC004669)". Lineage: Eukaryota; Viridiplantae; Streptophyta; Magnoliopsida; Fabales; Fabaceae. The record is from RNAcentral.